GAUGAACGCUGGCGGCGUGCCUAAUACAUGCAAGUCGAGCGAACAGACGAGGAGCUUGCUCCUCUGACGUUAGCGGCGGACGGUGAGUAACACGUGGAUAACCUACCUAUAAGACUGGGAUAACUUCGGGAAACCGGAGCUAAUACCGGAUAAUAUAUUGAGCCGCAUGGUUCAAUAGUGAAAGACGGUUUUGCUGUCACUUAUAGAUGGAUCCGCGCCGCAUUAGCUAGUUGGUAAGGUAACGGCUUACCAAGGCAACGAUGCGUAGCCGACCUGAGAGGGUGAUCGGCCACACUGGAACUGAGACACGGUCCAGACUCCUACGGGAGGCAGCAGUAGGGAAUCUUCCGCAAUGGGCGAAAGCCUGACGGAGCAACGCCGCGUGAGUGAUGAAGGUCUUCGGCUCGUAAAACUCUGUUAUUAGGGAAGAACAAAUGUGUAAGUAACUAUGCACGUCUUGACGGUACCUAAUCAGAAAGCCACGGCUAACUACGUG
Molecule: ribosomal RNA, 496 nt
Filed under: uncultured bacterium
Lineage: Bacteria
Description: partial 16S ribosomal RNA
Rfam family: Bacterial small subunit ribosomal RNA
Source: RNAcentral